This 253-nucleotide ribosomal RNA is filed under the name uncultured bacterium. RNAcentral describes it as "partial 16S ribosomal RNA". It matches the Rfam family "Bacterial small subunit ribosomal RNA", at positions 524 to 776 of the family's 1533-position model. The record is from RNAcentral.
UACGGAGGGUGCAAGCGUUAUCCGGAUUUACUGGGUUUAAAGGGUGCGUAGGCGGGCCUUUAAGUCAGUGGUGAAAGCUCCGAGCUUAACUCGGAAACUGCCAUUGAUACUAUUGGUCUUGAAUUCGGUCGAGGUUGGCGGAAUGUGUCGUGUAGCGGUGAAAUGCGUAGAUAUGACACAGAACACCGAUUGCGAAGGCAGCUAGCUAGACCGACAUUGACGCUGAGGCACGAAAGCGUGGGGAUCAAACAGG